UAAGACGUAGGGGACGAGCGUUGUCCGGAUUUAUUGGGCGUAAAGCGCGCGCAGGCGGCCACGUAAGUCGGAUGUGAAAUCCCGGGGCUCAACCCCGGAACUGCAUUCGAUACUGCGUGGCUCGAGGUAGGUAGGGGAGAUCGGAAUUCCUGGUGUAGCGGUGGAAUGCGCAGAUAUCAGGAGGAACACCGGUGGCGAAGGCGGAUCUCUGGGCCUUACCUGACGCUCAGGCGCGAAAGCUAGGGGAGCGAACAGGAUUAGAUACCCUGGUAGUCCACGCCGUAAACGUUGGGCGCUAGGUGUGGGGCUCAUUCCACGAGUUCCGUGCCGCAGCUAACGCAUUAAGCGCCCCGCCUGGGGAGUACGGCCGCAAGGCUA
RNAcentral lists this ribosomal RNA (378 nucleotides) under uncultured bacterium. RNAcentral describes it as "bacterial SSU rRNA". It matches the Rfam family "Bacterial small subunit ribosomal RNA", at positions 521 to 896 of the family's 1533-position model. The record is from RNAcentral.